Molecule: long non-coding RNA, 732 nt
Organism: Anguilla rostrata (American eel)
Lineage: Eukaryota; Metazoa; Chordata; Actinopteri; Anguilliformes; Anguillidae
Exons: 2
Source: RefSeq, a predicted model, not a curated record
UUCGGGGGACGCUCACGUGCCCGCUUUGAUCGCAGCUUGUGGGAAACUGGCCCAGACCCUGGAGGCCCUGGUAGAGAGGACCCAGCUGUGGUCAGAUGGAGCCGACAGGACUCCAUCUCCCAGAAUGCCCGUCGUGCCAGUCGGAGGCCACGAUCUGGCACCAGUGGUGCAGAAUGGACAGUGGGUGGAACAGGAUGGCCCCGCCCCAAACAGCCCGCCAGAGCUCCACAAACCCCCCCAGAGGAACGGGCAUCCUGGCUUCCAGGAGCGUGUCUGCUGCUGUUAAGACCCAGGACAGCAGCACAGACCUUCAGCAGCACAGACCGUCAGCACUACAGACCUUCAGCAGCACAGACCGUCAGCACCACAGACCGUCAGCAGCACAGACCGUCAGCAGCACAGACCUUCAGCACCACAGACCGUCAGCAGCACAGACCUUCAGCACUACAGACCGUCAGCAGCACAGACAUUCAGCAGCACAGACCGUCAGCAGCACAGACCUUCACAGCCGCGCCUGAGAGCAGGGUGGCCUCAUUGGCUGAAAGCUCCAGCUGGCAGUGUUGCAGGUGUGACAGUUGCAGUCCAAAACAGAAACUGCAUGCAAAUCCAGCUGAACCAGUAUGCACUGGCAACUCACUGCCCUCUGCUGGCCACUGAGAGAAUCGGAUCAUUAACUAUGGAUUUUACCUUUGAUGCAUAGUACAUGGAAAUAAAUUUGAUUGGUUGAUAGUU